GCUGCUCUGAUAAUCACACACCUCUUCGUGGUGAGCAGUAGGCAACGCUGAUAUGGCGGCUAAGUGUGAGA
RNAcentral lists this ribozyme (71 nucleotides) under unclassified sequences. Its description in RNAcentral is "HDV ribozyme from F. prausnitzii". It matches the Rfam family "HDV ribozyme from F. prausnitzii". The record is from RNAcentral.